CCGCCCCGCCCCGCCCCGCGCCGCCGCCCCCAACCCCUAGGCUGAGCCGGAGGGAGGGACCCAGAAGGGAGGGAGGCGGAAGGGAGGCCAAAAAGGAGGGGGCCACGUGAAAGAGGCCGGCCGACCGAGACCGAGGGAGACUGAGCGGAGCGCACGCCCUGGAAGGAGAGAGCCGGAGAGUUCGGGAGGCAAGACCCCCAGAGACGAGAGUCGGAGGGAUCAAACGACACAGAUGGGAAACUGAGGCCCAGCAAGAGGCAGCCCUGGUGCAGGGACUCCAAUGGAGUCUUGCUCUGUCACCCAGACUGGGUACAGUGGCACGAUCUCGGCUCACUACAAACUCCACCUCCUGGGUUCAAGAGAUUCUCCUACCUCAGCCUCCCGAGUAGCUGGGACUACAGACACAGGGGUUUGCCCUCCUGUCCCUUCUCCUCCAGAGGACACAGCAUUCAAUACUACCUUGGAAGCAGCGACAGCAACCCUCACCAGACACCAAGCCUGCUGGCACCUUGAUCUUGGACAUCCAGCCUCCAGAUCUGUGAGAAGUAAAUUCUGGUUUUUUAAAAAUUACCCAGUCUCAGGUAUUUUUUAAUACACACAUUAAUGGACUAAGACAAGACUCAACACUGUCAAGUUGUCAAUUUGUGCUAAAUUGAUCUAUAGACUUAAUAUGUUCUCAAUAAAAGUCCCAACAAGGUUAAUGUGGAAAUUGACAAGCUGAUUCUAAAACAUAAUGAAAGGCAACGGACGUAGAAUAACAAAAACCCUUUUGAAAAAAUGAAUAUUACCUGAAAUGAAGAGUCAGCAUAAAGUUACAAUGAUAAAGACAGUGUGUUACUGGCACAGGGAUAGACAUAUAGACCAAUAGAACUGAAUUGAGAAUCCAGAUGUAUAUAUCAAGUCAAUGGGGGAAAGGUAUAGAAUAAAGAGGUAUUCACAUAGGAAAAAGCAAAUCUCAAAUUUUACUUCACAUCAUACACAAAAAAUGACUCUGAAUGGAGGGUAGUUCUAAAGGUAAGAGCUAAAGCUAUAGUACUUCUAGAACAGGGGUUACAAUUUUUUUUCUUUAAAGAAACAAAUAGUAAAUAUUGUAUGCUUUGCAGGCCAAAAGAUCUCUAUUGCAGCUACUCAACUCUGCCAUUGUAGCACCAAACAGUCACAGAUAAUACACAAACAACUGGGUGCAGCUAUGUUCCAAUAAAGCCUUCUUUACAAAAAUAGGUGGUGUUCCAGUAAAACUUUGUAUACCAAACUGGGGGCUGUAGUUUGAAGAUCCUCGUUCUAGG
Molecule: long non-coding RNA, 1286 nt
Filed under: Homo sapiens (human)
Lineage: Eukaryota; Metazoa; Chordata; Mammalia; Primates; Hominidae
Description: HSALNT0353724
Source: RNAcentral